Macrobrachium nipponense is the source of this 1266-nucleotide RNA transcript. RefSeq lists it as uncharacterized. The transcript has 4 exons. The record is from RefSeq and is a predicted model, not a curated record. NCBI's taxonomy places the organism in Eukaryota, Metazoa, Arthropoda, Malacostraca, Decapoda, Palaemonidae.
UAUCGCUACGGUUGAGGGAACAGCACGUAUAAGGCGACGUUUGGGUCGCGAAAAAAACUUUAAACAAACCAGAAAUAAACGAAGGGUCACCGGAAAAUCGUAAAUGGUAACUCAGGAUUGCCAAUGUUUACACAGGAGUGAGAGAGAGAUGAAGGCGAAGUCGAACAACGCUUCGGUAUCCUUCGUCCCUCGUUCCUUCGCGAACGACCACUUAGUCCUCAGUGCAAUGGAUAGUUCAGACGGUUUACAGUGGUAUUAACGCUGACGACGUUUCGGAUAGCGCAUUAGCUGAUGAACAAUGCCCUCUGCACAGCACUCGAAACGAGCAGAGGUCCUGAGACCCGGAAAACGAGACCAUAUGGCAGACGAGUCAGACACCCUCUGCGGAUUUCGUCGUAGCGUUACGGUAGUGUGUCUGGUAGGCGGGAUCCUCUGCUUUGGUAUCCUGUUUGUGGUGAGCAUCAUUCUCGUCGUGUCUGGCAUAGCCGCGCUGGGUAUAAGCAACUACGAGACCGACAAGUUCCUGGAUUCCUCGAAGAUCCUCUGGAAGCUGUUGGGACUGUCAUGGUCUUAACUGGACUGGUGAUGAUGGCAAUCCUGAGCGGCCUGUGGUAUACGGCAGAGAAAAGAGACAGAAUUAAGAAACACAAAACUAAACGCCUUCAAUCAGCGCCUCACAGUCCGCCGCGUUCCUAUUCCCAUCCCGCCUGACGGAGACCUCCACGGUGGGCGUGCAGACGCCCACAUACCUUCCAGACGGCAACGACCAACUGGAUCCUUUAGUAAGACAGAUGUCCUACCCGGCUGCGGCCCCUCCCGGAAGGCGGCUCUCCUACCCCGAUCCAUCAUCUGGAAGCGAAUUAUCCUACGCGUCAACGUCCUCCGCAGAGCAAAUGCCGUACCCGACUGCUCCUCCUUCCUCCUCAGGUCAUAUCCUAAGCGGCCUUCCGUCAGCUCGGCAGCUCUUCUUCUCCUCCUCCUCAGGGGAAGCCGCUUCUUUCAGUCAGCAGCAGUAUUAUCCCUCCGAACAGGCCUACCGGUCCCAAGUGUUAGUCCUAAAUGGCUACGCGGACGAUGUCAAUGUUGACUUUCUUAAUGAGCCGCCUCCUCCGUACACUCCUUGAAACUUUUAUUGUCAAUUACGUGUUUGGUCACCAUAGUAUCCGCUUAGAAUUCUCUCCCAUUUUCCAUAUGUCUUGUAAUUUAUCCUCGUUUUCUUUUCCUCACUAGGUGGUGCAUGUGUGCAUCCUUACAUAUGUAAAUACA